AUGGUAUGGCUGUUCGCCAUUUAAAGUGGGACGCGAGCUGGGUUUAGAACGUCGUGGGACAGUUCCGUCCCUAACUGCCGUGGGCGCUGGGGAAUUGCGGGGGGGUGCCCGAUGUACGGAAGGGCCGGAGUAGAAGCGUCACUGGUGUUCGGGUUGUCCUGCCAAUGGCAGUGCGGGGUCUCUAAAUUCGGAAGAGAUAAGUGCUGAAAGCAUCUAAGCACGAAACUUGCCCCGAGAUGAGUUCUCCCUGAGACUAUAAGUCUCCUGAAGGAACGUUGAAGACGACGACGUUGAUAGGCCGGGUGUGUAAGCGCAGCGAUGCGUUGAGCUAACCGGUACUAAUGAACCGUGAGGCUUAACCUU
This 363-nucleotide ribosomal RNA is filed under the name Cronobacter malonaticus. RNAcentral's name for it is "partial 23S ribosomal RNA". It matches the Rfam family "Bacterial large subunit ribosomal RNA", at positions 2568 to 2925 of the family's 2925-position model. The record is from RNAcentral. Lineage: Bacteria; Pseudomonadati; Pseudomonadota; Gammaproteobacteria; Enterobacterales; Enterobacteriaceae.